RNAcentral lists this ribosomal RNA (415 nucleotides) under uncultured bacterium. Its description in RNAcentral is "bacterial SSU rRNA". It matches the Rfam family "Bacterial small subunit ribosomal RNA", at positions 96 to 507 of the family's 1533-position model. The record is from RNAcentral.
UGGCGAACGGUGAGUAAUAUAUCGGAACGUGCCCAGUCGUGGGGAUAACGUAGCGAAAGUUACGCUAAUACCGCAUACGAUCUACGGAUGAAANCGGGGGACUCGCAAGAGCCUCGCGCGAUUGGAGCGGCCGAUAUCAGAUUAGGUAGUUGGUGGGGUAAAGGCUCACCAAGCCAACGAUCUGUAGCUGGUCUGAGAGGACGACCAGCCACACUGGAACUGAGACACGGUCCAGACUCCUACGGGAGGCAGCAGUGGGGAAUUUUGGACAAUGGACGCAAGUCUGAUCCAGCCAUUCCGCGUGCAGGAUGAAGGCCCUCGGGUUGUAAACUGCUUUUGUACGGAACGAAAAGGUUUCUAUUAAUACUAGGAGCUCAUGACGGUACCGUAAGAAUAAGCACCGGCUAACUACGUG